ACCUGCAUUUGCGAGGAGUUGAGGACUCACCUGUGACCCGGUUGUUGAUAGUGCCGGGAGAGGAGCUCCAGAAGCGUUUCCUGUGUUCAGUGGGUUCAGUCCCGUUACUCCCAAACCCUGUAGCCUCCAGACA
Molecule: small nucleolar RNA, 133 nt
Filed under: Cariama cristata (Red-legged seriema)
Lineage: Eukaryota; Metazoa; Chordata; Aves; Cariamiformes; Cariamidae
Description: Small nucleolar RNA SNORA71
Rfam family: Small nucleolar RNA SNORA71
About the family: The members of this family belong to the H/ACA class of snoRNAs which bind a number of proteins (including dyskerin, Gar1p and Nop10p) to form snoRNP complexes.
Source: Rfam by way of RNAcentral